UACGUAGGGUGCAAGCGUUGUCCGGAAUUACUGGGCGUAAAGGGCGCGUAGGCGGCUCGUUUAGUCGGGUGUGAAAUCCCGGGGCUCAACCCCGGAACUGCAUUCGAUACUGGCGGGCUAGAGACCGGAAGAGGUGGGUGGAAUACCCAGUGUAGAGGUGAAAUUCGUAGAUAUUGGGUGGAACACCGGUGGCGAAGGCGGCUCACUGGUCCGGUUCUGACGCUGAGGCGCGAAAGCGUGGGGAGCAAACCGG
RNAcentral lists this ribosomal RNA (253 nucleotides) under uncultured bacterium. RNAcentral describes it as "partial 16S ribosomal RNA". It matches the Rfam family "Bacterial small subunit ribosomal RNA", at positions 524 to 776 of the family's 1533-position model. The record is from RNAcentral.